UUGGCUCAGGCUCCUCCAUUACUUUGAGUCUCACGACCAUGAGAUCACCACUCUUCAUGCACUACCAUCUGAGACCAG
Small nucleolar RNA from Elgaria multicarinata webbii, 78 nucleotides. The record is from RefSeq and is a predicted model, not a curated record. NCBI's taxonomy places the organism in Eukaryota, Metazoa, Chordata, Lepidosauria, Squamata, Anguidae.